CCACAUUUCCCUCUCAAUUUCUGGGCGCAACACAUUCACUCCUACAAACUUCUGACAAUUCGUAUCAUACCUAUCUGAUUCUCCCUUGCCUUUCUCUCUCUCCCAAGUUUUCUUUUUUCUUUUUAAUUCAUUUCUUUUGUGGAAUUUGUUGUAAAGCUAUAUGGAAGGGAGUGAUGGAAGGAAAAGGGAGAGAAAAAACACAGACCAGGCCAGGACCCCAAGGACAACGAGGGGACAUAAGUAUUUUUUUUUUUAAAAGGAGAAAACUCGGCUUUGUAACUUUGUUUGUGCAUUAUGAGGAUUGCUUUUAGCAUAUUUCAUGUUCCUUGGUGAAAUACGAUCAUUACCACCAUUGUUCCAUAAUUAUGGCUUCUCCUUGGUUUUAUCUUCUCUUCUUUUUCUCUUGUUCUGGACUCUGUUUCUCUUACGAGCCUCGCAACCACGAAGUGGAAGCAUUGAUAAGCAUAAGAGCAUCUCUGAGUGAUCCACAUGGGGUAUUAAGCAACUGGGAUGAAUACUCAGUAGACCCUUGUAGUUGGGCUAUGAUCACUUGCUCUUCUGAUUCCCUUGUUGUAGGCUUUGGAGCUCCAAGUCAAUCUCUUUCUGGAACCUUAUCUUCUGCCAUAGGAAAUCUGACAAAUCUUCGACAAGUGUUACUGCAGAACAACAAUGUAUCCGGCCAAAUCCCGCCGGAACUUGGUACCCUUUCUAAGCUACAGACUUUAGAUCUUUCCAAUAAUCGAUUCUCUGGUGUGAUUCCCGGUUCUUUAAGUCACUUGGAUAAUCUUCAGUAUUUGAGGCUGAACAACAACACCUUAUCUGGGCCCUUUCCUGUGUCACUAGCCAGCAUCCCUCAACUUGCUUUCCUAGACUUGUCUUAUAACAAUCUCAGUGGACCCGUACCGAAGUUUCCAGCUAGAUCACUCAAUGUUGUGGGGAACCCAUUGAUUUGUGGAAGAAGCUCUACUGAAGGUUGCUCAGGAACUACAACCCUCUUGCCUGUUUCAUUUUCUCUUCCAUCCUCACAAGGGAAGCACAAGUCCAAGAAAAUAGCAAUUGCACUUGGGAUCAGCCUUAGCUUUGCUUUUCUCAUACUGCUGUCUCUAGGGUUCUUCUGGCAUAUAAAGAAAAGACAGCACCGGGCGCUUCUGUAUGUCAGUGAUUAUCAAGAAGAUGGGCUUGUUCACUUGGGGAAUCUCAACAUUUUCACUUUCAGAGAGCUUCAACAUGCAACAGAUAAUUUCAGCUCCAAGAACAUUCUUGGUGCUGGAGGUUUUGGCAAUGUUUAUAGGGGAAAGCUUGGAGAUGGGACACUGGUUGCUGUGAAGAGGCUGAAAGAUAUCACUGGAAGUGCUGGGGAAUCGCAGUUUCGAACUGAAUUAGAGAUGAUCAGUUUGGCAGUUCACCGCAAUUUACUUCGCUUAGUUGGAUUUUGUGCUACUUCUAAUGAGAAGCUUCUGGUUUAUCCUUUCAUGUCUAAUGGAAGUGUGGCAUCCAGACUUAGAGGCAAACCUGCUCUAGAUUGGAACACAAGAAAGAGGAUAGCGAUCGGAGCUGCCAGAGGUCUUCUGUAUCUGCAUGAGCAAUGUGAUCCAAAGAUAAUACAUAGAGAUGUUAAGGCUGCUAAUGUGCUUCUGGAUGAGUACUAUGAAGCUGUUGUUGGUGAUUUUGGCCUUGCAAAGCUCCUUGAUCAUGCUGACUCUCAUGUUACUACUGCUGUUCGUGGCACGGUAGGCCACAUUGCACCAGAGUACCUCUCCACCGGCCAAUCAUCUGAGAAAACUGAUGUAUAUGGAUUUGGCAUUCUCUUAUUGGAGCUCAUAACUGGAAUGACGGCUCUUGAGUUUGGAAAAACAGUGAAUCAGAAAGGUGCAAUGCUAGAGUGGGUGAAGAAAAUACAGCAAGAAAAGAAGGUGGAAGUGUUGGUGGACAAGGAGUUAGGAAGAAACUAUGACAGGAUAGAUGUGGGAGAGAUGUUGCAAGUAGCUUUACUUUGCACUCAGAGUCUACCGGUCCACCGCCCCAAAAUGUCAGAAGUGGUCAGAAUGCUCGAAGGUGAUGGCCUUGCCGACAAGUGGGCAGCUUCACAAAAUCAUGACAACCUCAACAUGAACACCACCUUUCACAGCCACAGUAACAAUAGUUCAUCUUCUCGCCCAAGCACCACUCUUUCUUCAAAAUUUGAUGAUGAUGAUGAUGAUGAUGAUGCUCAUGAUCGUCGUCCCAGCAUGUUUGGCAUGGGACUGGAUGCUGAUGAUGAUGAUGAACACUCUUUGGAUUCCUAUGCCAUGGAACUCUCUGGUCCUAGGUAAACAGAUAAUGGAGAGAAAUUAGAGAAAGAACCAAAAGAAAGGGGGAAAAAAGAAGAAAAAGGAAGGAGGGAGGAUUAUUUUUUUUUUUUCCAUAAUCACAAUUCUUUAAUUAAAGCAAGUCGUACAUCUCCAUGAAGCAGGAGGGAAAGAAUAUCAUGAGAUUCUUUGCUCUCAAGAACAUAAUCAUCAUCAUUAUCAGAGGGUGUCUCUCUUGCAGUUCCAGGGUUUGGUAUUGACUGGUUUGAGAGAAGAAAGCAAUGGACUUUACUAUGUCUGGACUCUGGUCUUGUGGGAUGUUGUUGAAGUUGAUGUUGAAAGCAAGGAGAGGAUUGAAGAAGGUUGCUGUGAAAGAGGUCAUUUUCUAUCUGAUGCUUUUGCAGGUCACGCGCACUGCUUUUUCCUCAGUGAGCUUCUUUUCACAGUUUACUUUUGUAUGGUGAUUUCUCACAACAUUUUCUUUUUUAACCUCAAAAUUGUCUUGUACUGUUUUGCUA
RNA transcript from Prosopis cineraria, 2806 nucleotides. It is a transcript of the gene named probable LRR receptor-like serine/threonine-protein kinase At2g23950, with no coding region annotated. Lineage: Eukaryota; Viridiplantae; Streptophyta; Magnoliopsida; Fabales; Fabaceae. The transcript is spliced from 12 exons. The record is from RefSeq and is a predicted model, not a curated record.